This is a long non-coding RNA of Dromaius novaehollandiae (emu), 7285 nucleotides long. RefSeq lists it as uncharacterized. NCBI's taxonomy places the organism in Eukaryota, Metazoa, Chordata, Aves, Casuariiformes, Dromaiidae. The transcript has 2 exons. The record is from RefSeq and is a predicted model, not a curated record.
AGCAAUAGGCUUGUUGAGUCAGUCCUUCUCUAGCUCUUAUUGGUGCAUUUUAUCUUAUAACUGUCCCCUGAAGCUGUCUUUAUUCAUUUCGUCUCAUUGAUUUAUAAGAACGUCUGACUUGGAAGCUUGCCCUCUGAAGAAUUUCCAACACCUCCCCGCACAACGUUGAGUACUAAAUUUAUGUAUACAUGUUCUCCAUUUCAUCACCCAAGCAGUCAAGGAAUAAACGCAGCAACGCCGAGCUCGCAACAGACCCCCGUGGGAUCCUACCUGGCACGUCCUCACUGUUUGAUAUAUUUUGGUCAGUCCCUUGACUGUACAGACAACAGGUCCACAGCCACCGGUGCCUGUACAACCGCGGGGAUGGACCACGCGGCCGAGGCGCAGGAGCUCGCAGGGGUUGUCCUGCCACCGACACAGCCACAGCUUUGCCUGUGCCUCUCUGAGAACUCCUUAAAAACCUGAAGUUUGGGGAAGCUCGUCGAUGAAAAAACUGCUUUAAAAUGUUACUUUUUAUUUAUCUUAUGCUUUGGUUGUAGAUGUUAUCUACAUCUGCCAGGAAAAUUUUUGGACAUCUCCCUGUAAAGUGAUGGACUUAUGCCUGUCCCUUAACUUGUUCUAAUAGCAGGAAACACAAUACCGAGGUUUCGCUUUGUUCUGCCUUUUUUUUUUUUUAAACGAAUACAUGUCUGAUAGCAGAAACUCGAUUAUACUACAAACACAGAAUCUUCUAGUUUUCAGAAGAUGAUGGCAAGGACAAAAUAACACCUCUUCCUCCAAAAUUAGCCACACGCUGUAACUGAACUCUUCAAAAUAGCAUUGAAAUGGAAUUUUACAGUAUGUUUCCCAUAUUUUUCAUGUAAGAAUAAUCAAUAUGCACGAAAAGGCCUACAACAUGCCUGCAAAGCAAUGGUCAAAAAGAUAGCAAGAAAUAAUGUUAACCAUGCUCUACUAAGGGAACAAGGGAAGCAAUAUUAAGCAACAAGAGAGGAACGAGGUCAGAGGAAUCUGCUAAAGCAGCUCACCUCUGCCGGACGCUCCCUCUUGCCCUAUUUUUCACUUGCGAUGUUUGAAAAUUUUGGCCUGGGUGCUUAGUCACGCCUGCGAGAUACCUGGAGCUGGAACGAAUAUCUGCAACUCAGGAAGAGCGGGGUUUAAAAGGUCAGUUGGCUUCCACCCAGCACAGGCAGAGAAGAGACAAACAUUGACUGAUUGGGGAAAAUAGCCCAAGAACAACCUCUGCUUUCAGGUUAUGUAAAAAAUGUGCAACCCUUUCCAUGACGGAUUAUUCCUCUAAGCCAUCUAGGUUUUGACAUCUGAGGUGGUGCUUCUCAAAUUUUAUGCAAGUUACAUUUGGCUCAGUAGCUUUAUAAGCAACUUAAUAAAUUAUUAAGGUAUUUAAAUGGUGCUUUUCAUGUCUUAAAUUAAUUUCUAUUCAAAAAAUCUAAAAGGAAAUCCAAGUAAAAUAGACAAUCUAUUUUAAAACGAUGAAUUUUAAAGCAAGAAAUCCCUCAAAAUUUCUAGUAUGAUGGCUCACAACUUUGCAAAUCUUUACAAAAUUGCACAGAUUUGCUCUGAGUAUUGAAUAAGGAAAGGCUCCUGUAUUCGAAAGAACUGCCCAGACAUAAUCUUGAGGGAUCUCUUGUUUUCUGUCCCAUUACCUCCCCUCAUGAUUUAUUUAAAUAGAUGUUAAGGUCAAAAGGGAUAAUUACCACCACUCGUCUGACUUGCUGCAUAAUACAUGCUAUGAAAUUUAGCACAGUAAUUCCUGAAUCGGAGCCGGACUGACCCGACCUAGAGCACAGCGUUCAGAGAGAGACACAAGCUGUCCUGCAGAUUUAAGGUUUUGGGGAAGCCACCACAUUCCUUGGUAACUACAAACAACCUUUUAACUUCUCGUGCUGCCCUCUAUCUCCAGCUAUCAUAUGCAGGAACGACGACGAGACAAACAUCUAAGAUAAAAGCCACGCAGGGUAAUUACCCGGGGAAGGGUGACACAAGCCAACCUCAGCAGCACGCAGAUCAUUAAAGCAGAGAACACAGGGACAAACCACCAUCUCGUAACACCUCGGUGUGAAGCUGGUACAGGACAGGGGGGAACGACGGACCCAGCAAGGGCUGGGGAGAGUGGCUACAGACGUACAGCAGUGACAAAAGCUGUUUGUAUAUGUAUGCUGCUAUUAGCAUCCUUAAAAGAAAACCAAAAUUUUAAAGGGUUGAGGGAAGAUGGGAUUCAGUAAGACUAUUCUAAGUGAAAUAAGUCUGUCUAAAGAGUGCUUUGAAUGAGGAGAGCAAAUGUGUCUGAUCCACACAUCAGGAAAAUUGUACCAGACGUGGAAUGGCAAAAAGGGAAGACUCGAAUGAAAAUAGAAGUGUCAGCAUGAACACUGAGAUGAAAUGGGCUGACACGUCUCAGAGCAGACCACCAUCAGGAAGCUAGAAAAAAAAGUAUAAGCAAAACGGAGUGGAAAAGAACUGAAGGAGAGCUGGAGGAUUUGAAUGUGAUGAGAGAGGUGACGGAGGGCAAACCCGAGCGCCUGGUUAGAGUGCAACGCUCGGGAUCUGCUCUGCCUGCAAGCCUUCCCUCUCUUCCCGGCGCAGCGCUUCCAUGCCCGCUGCUCUGCUGGCCCUCCCAGCGCCGUGACAGCAAGACUGCAAUAGCGUUAUCAGCGAUCCAUCGUUAGCUGGAGGGAGGAAGAACGGGAACGAACAAGAGGUAUCACUUCGACGGCAGCACGCACGAUAGGCUGCAGAAACACUGCUUGAGAAGGGAGGAAGCUACAGAAAAGGUUAAAGUAGCUGAUGUGCGAAGUGGUAUAAAGGCAGAUCAACGCUUCCACAACAGGAACAGGUUAGAAGACACCAUUAAAGCAGCGUCAGGAUUGAGAAGCUACCUUGCCCUAAGGCCUGACGUCUCAGUACCACGAGACACUUACUGCCAGCCAGAACGAGACCUCAGAGCGUGGCGUCCGAAACCCCUUUGGAGUGCUGCAUCACCCCACUCGUCUGCAUCCAACAGCAAGAGAGGGAAAACCUUUCACAUCUGGAGUCCAAAACCAAGAUCUCCUUAGAUUUUAUUCACAUGCUUUCCUCUUGAUCUUGAAUCUUAAAUUAUACUCACUUAAGAGUACUGAAAAAGCCUCCCUGUCUGUCCCCCUUGCUGAUGCCUUCUGACCAUUUGGGCCUCAUCAAACCCCUCUCUCUCACCUAUUGCAUCCUCCUCAUAACCCACAUCCCACAGAUUCACAAUUGCUCCUGCAGAAUUUUAAACCACAGGUUAAAAAUAAAUACUGACAGGCAUCUAGAUAUUAGUUAAAGUGGUAAAAACAAGUAUUUAAACACAGAGGAUUUUUUGUUUGAAAUUGUUAGACUUUAUGAUCAUUACGCUGACUCUUGUCCUCUUCCUUCCUUCCUCUUUGCUGUUCCCUUCUCUUGCAUCUUGUCGUAAAGUACCGUCAAAUCUCCCUUGUGCAAGGUUACACGUGGACUAGGAUCUCCCUUAUCUCUAUAGAUAAAAAGAUAUUUUUAUCUCUUUCCUAGAAAAAGUCUAUUUUGGUAUUAUGUACGUGUAUAUAUAAGGCAUUGUGGGAUGCAUUAAGGAGCAUGGUCAAAAACAUGCCUAACCACCCAAGCUAAUCUAUAAAAGCAAACCAGAUAGUGACAGCUGCCACAGUCUGCCCAUGCUCAUGCUAUUGAAACUCUCUUUAAAACAGAGUGGCCACGUGCAGCUUGCCUACCGGGAAGGAUUUCUGCACCGUACCUCUGCACGGUGUUGUGCACGACCUUCUCGGGGCCUUCGGAAGCUGGGAGGGCGGUGGAGCAGCACCCAAGGGUCAAACGCGGCAGAGGGUGACGAGCCAGCGAGCCUGGUGGGUCCCAGCUGGACUCCACCUGCUCACGUGCUGCAGCAUCCCAACUUUAACCGAAUGCUUAGAUUUUCUCUGUUUCAGAUCUGACUCUGCUGUGAGGUGGCUACACGGCUUCCAGAGCUAGCAAACGCUUCUGCCCCACAUCUGGCUCUGUUCAGAGCAGAGGCAGUAACUCAGAAUCCACGGCAUCUGUAUUAGUUAAUCUGUAACGUGGAUAGAAAUCACAUAGCAUUUAGUGCUGGCCAGAGACUGUACAUUUUCUGUGGCUGAAACUAUGGGCCUAGGGUCUAUGGCUAACAUGCAUCUAGGUUCUCUAAAUGUCACAAAGCUCUAAGAAACACAACGUAAGAAAAUGAAUGUACCACACCUGUGUCACAGAAAAUUGGUAGAAUUGACAAUAACAGUAGUUUCAGUCACUUUCAGGUGGAACUGGUGACUGGACAGCUAGAAGGAAAGGUCAGAGAGAUAAAUGUGGACACGGGAACAAAGGAGUAAAAAGGCACGCUUGGAAAUUGUCAGAAGAUAAAUUAAGCUAGCCAGCAAAUAAAAGUUAUUCUUGGUUAGACAGCUAAAAACCCAAGGGACAGCAUCAAUGACACAGAUAGGAAAUAUAUCGCUGCAGAGCUGGUGGUGGAGGAAGGUUUCCGGAGGCCUGAUCAAACAGCUGGAAAGCACCUCGUCACGCACAUCUGCAAACCCGCAGAAGGACAGGAGUCAAGGGGACAAUCAGCGGUGCUGGAGGCAGCAAAGUUAAAUAAGGACAAACAAAAAUAAAGGCAGGAAGAGUAGGAGAGACUACCAAGAGCAGAUAAUCAGUGACUUUAGGAACUCUAUGAAUUGCAGAAGGGAGCAGAAGACUGAAAAAGACCCAAAUUAGUGUUAGUAGAAAGAAAACCUCUUAGGAAAAGAGAGGUUUUUUGAAUGUUGUACAGGCAGACGACAUCAUACCCCUUCCAACUUUAGUGCUGAAGUUGCAAAUAAUUUUCUUUUUAAACUGUAAAAACACAAUUAAUCUGACCAAAUGCAGGUGCUUAUAGUCUCCAGGCUCCUUGGCUGUACAAAUCAGGAAAAUGAAUACAAUAUUUUGUUGUGUUAUAGGUAGCAAAUAUAGUGACUCCUUUUAUAGGCUAGGUUAAAGGACUUCUAUUUUAAAUGCCCUUUUCAGUUUAAGGGAGAAACUUUUGCCUCCCUGAACAGGCAUUACUGUAGGUUUCUUAAUAUGAGUUAGUUGUCUGCACUCCCAUAAUGGUCAAUGGGAAAGAAGCAGGCGCUGUUAGAGUGUUCUUCUCAUCUAAAAUCAGACAUACACAUCAGAUCUGUUGUAUCACACUCCAGAAGUGUUUAUUUGGCCCCACGAACUAUGUAGGGAGCCUGCUGUGACUUGCUCAGGAGGAAAUGCCUCCACUGUAGACAACUAAGCAGUCGAGAUGAUUCCCACUCUUACAUAUCAACAGAGUCUACCAUGGCAAUGUAGUUGCAUAAAAACCUUUCAGGAAUCAAUAGAGAAUGUUCCUUCCCUCCUCUCACAGACUAUAUAUAUUCACAAGAGUAAAAUACAAUGCAUUUAAUUUCAAGCUUAGAUCUGCAAUGUAAAAGGUGACGCAUAGCCUACAGACUGACCAUGGCUGCUGAGAAAACAAAUGCUGUAUGUAAAUGGUGUUUAAAGAGAAUCAUAAAUGUCAUUAACGUAGCUGAGGACUUGUGGUCUUUAGGAACAGAAUUACCAGAAAAAGGAUAAUGCACAUUGCUCACAACAGAAAGAAAAAAAAUCUAUUCCUGAAGUCAUUUUUAAAUAAAUUAGCUAAAACAAAUAAUAUAUUUAACAGGUUUGACCUAGUCCUACAGAAGAGAUAUAAUCAUCUCCAUUUAUUUAGAAAGGCUUCUUGGCUGUAGAAAUCAGAGAAAUUCUGUGUUUUGUUGUAUCAUAGAUAGCAAACAUAAGGACAGUAUAGGCAGGGUUUUAUGAAAAUUUGCCCUUUCUGAAUGUCUCAAUAAACGUAAGGAACAUUUGCCUCCCACAUCUGAUACAACUCUAUCAAAUGCAAACAUCCCUAUUAAAUCAAUGGGCUUUUCUUCAUCUGAAAACUUACAUUUCCAAAGAUAUAAAAAUAUCAGAAUUGAAGCAUUAAGUACUGGGACGUAAAACAAUUCCGAAGCGAAGGCUGACGGUAGCUAUGCUUCGGUUGUCAAAACUUCCUGCUUCCUAGAGAAACUUCCCCGGCCUCAUUCUGCCUACGGCACUUUGCGGACUGCAGCGAGCUCCCUGCCUCUUGCAAAACACAGUUACAGAAAUCCUGGCGUCUGAAGCGUUCACUGCCACUCUGGAUACUUUCCUGCUGAAUGAAGAGGAUGAGGAGAUCGGAAACGAUGAAGGCUCCUCUGAGACUGACUGUGCACCGACUGAAUAGCAGCAUUUGGUGAUGGCGUUUUUGUUGUGUUUGUUUUUCAGUUAUUAGUUUUUACAAGAAGUGAGCUCAGGCAUUAGAAAGCCUGUCAUCCAGCUCAGUCUUAUCCCCAACAAAACAGCUGUCAAACAGAGGUUAUUUUCCUAUUUUUAGCAGAAGGAAGUAACAAAUGAGAAGUUUCCUUUCCUGCUCCGCCGCAGAACGGCAGUGUUCGCUGCGCUUUGGAGGAGUUCAAAGGCUUUGGGCAAGCUCCGCAGCACAGCUACCCUCCUCCCUCUCUUCUGGCAUCACUUUGCAAAGAAACGGAUGCGACCAUCACAAGGAUGUGGCAUAACAACGGAUAAAACACUAAAACAUAUUGCCUUUCUUUGCUAAUGAGACCUUAGACUGAGGAUGCAACAGCGAUUGCCCACUCCACCCCCAGCAGCCAGAUCAGCAUCUCCUUCCACGGGGCGAGAGCUGUGGGGUUCAAGGCAGAAGAGCCACUCCGACAGCAAGAGGGGCAGGUUCAGCCUCUCCCACCAGCGACCACAGCCCGGCUGCAAACAGACUGGCUUUGCUUUCCUUGCAUCGCUGUGAGAGCGAGCUUGUCAAUACGGACUUCCACCGAGAGACUAUGUCAGUUCUAUCUACAGGAAGCCCCAUAAACAGCAACUUUCUAAUCAUACGUGAAUGUUAUUAAAAAAUGCAGAAGCAGUUUUAUUUUUCUAAUAAAAUCUUGCAUAGGUAUUCAUUUAUUAUUCUUUCCAACUUUGCCCUCAAAUAAAUUGAUCCAGAUUUGUCCCAUCUUUGGGGGAAAGAAAGCAAAAAAACCUCCACUUGACUAAGUCUGCUGUUGACAAGCUGGAAUACAUUAGCUAGAAGGAGGAAAGCUUGAUGAAGGUAUAAACAGUUAUAAAAUGCUCUUCAGAAGGGAAACAUUUAGAUAAGCUACCACCAUUUGUUCCUAUUAUAACAUUACUAUUAUAGAAGUCAGAUAUAUUUCUAAUAAAUGCAAUUGUGAUUUGUUGA